This 391-nucleotide unclassified non-coding RNA is filed under the name soil metagenome. RNAcentral describes it as "partial contains 5.8S ribosomal RNA, internal transcribed spacer 2, and large subunit ribosomal RNA". The stretch from base 1 to 122 matches the Rfam family "5.8S ribosomal RNA", at positions 35 to 154 of the family's 154-position model. The record is from RNAcentral.
GAUGAAGAACGUAGCAAACUGCGAUACUUGGUGUGAAUUGCAGAAUCCCGUGAACCAUCGAGUCUUUGAACGCAAGUUGCGCUUGAAGCCAUUAGGCCGAGGGCACGCCUGCCUGGGCGUCACACGUCGUUGCCCCCCCAUCUACUCCUUCGGGAUUGCGGGGGGCGGAUGAUGGCCUCCCGUGCGCCUCGUCGCGCGGUUGGCCUAAAUGCCAAGUCCUCGGCGACGCACGCCACGACAAUCGGUGGUUGCGAAACCUCGGUUGCCCGUCGUGUGCGGUCGUCGCGCAUCGAGGGCUCGAAAAAAUUGCCGGGCUUCAGCUCGACUUUCAACGCGACCCCAGGUCAGGCGGGGUUACCCGCUGAAUUUAAGCAUAUCAAUAAGCGGAGGA